This 1909-nucleotide long non-coding RNA is filed under the name Sus scrofa (pig). RNAcentral's name for it is "lncRNA (ENSSSCG00035075657.1)". Lineage: Eukaryota; Metazoa; Chordata; Mammalia; Artiodactyla; Suidae. The record is from RNAcentral.
UGGGCCUUUGGCUUCCUGUCACACAGCCGUGCGACAAGGGGCAGGUUUCUGAAGGACCAGAGAGAAAAGGGGUCUGUUGUUCUCGGGGGCACAGGCUUGCUGGUGGCAUCCCGCACAGACACUCUCUCCUCACAGCUCCCACCACGGGGACUGGAGGCAGGAGGAGCCGACGGGCCCCUGGAACGGCCGCGGUGCGUCCCGAGGUGGGAGCCGCAAGCCCGAGGCUCGGCCGAGUCCCAGGGGACCCUAACGGAGGCCGGGCUGGAAGGCCAAGGUGGCUGCCACGUGGGAAGGUAUCCUUGACGUCCAGACCCUGGAGAAGGAGUCGGGAGCCACCACCCAAAGCAACUGUCCAGGAAAAGUGGUCGCGCUUCAGCCAUCGCGCUGGGCUAGGUCUUCCAAGCGAACCCCCUGUUGGAGCCUCUGCCGUCUAACGUCACCUAAUGUAGCCGAACCUGCCAAGACCCUGGCUACUUCACUGGAACCCAGACCAGGGCGAUCCCCGAGUGUUGCGAGCCCACCUUCCUCUUCCUCGACGGUGGCUCCAGCCCCUUCAUGUCGCCUCCAAGCUCCUGCCCAAGUGUUCCCACCCGCACUGCUGGGAGCAGCUCCUCUGUGUUUUCAGGGCCACUUUGCUGUCGUCCUUUGAAGGUUCUCUUGGCGACUCUAGGAAGACUCCAUGGUACAGGUGACCUUCUGUAUCUGUGGAGGAUCGGUUCCCAGAUACCCCCGCCCACGGAUCCCAAAAUCCCAGGAGCCAAGCCUUGUCUAAAGUGCCGGAGUGCAGCCUGGCCUCCAGAACACGUGAGAACAGAGCAGCCGUACUCUGUUUCCAACGAGCCGAUGGCCAAAGCCCCGCUGUGCGUGUUCUCUAUGGACUGAACAGCCAGUGGCCCUGUAGCAGUGAAGCCUCACACCGUCCUCCAGGCUGGAAGGGACCCUUGAGUCACAGAACUUGCCAGUUUGCAAACAUGUCUCUAGUUGUAACAACUUUCAUCUGUCAAAUGAGGGCUCUUCAUUUCUAAGGUUCUAGAAGCCGGCCGUGGUCAUUUAGUCCCUCAGCUGGGUGUACUGAAAUCUGGGCCAGAGGCACAGCUUCCUCGCUAAGACACCCCCCCACCCCAGCACCCUGUACACACACACAGGCAGAGGCCAAGCUGCCUGCCUCCCCGCACCCCCUAGAAUGCUAACCACUGGGGACCGAGGGGCAGUUCCUACCUUUUACAUCCUUACAUACUGAAUCUGGCGCUGGCUCCUGGGCUGCAUCUUCUUAACUGCAAACACUCUAUACCAUCCCUCUCUGGUUCCACCAGCCACCACCCUCCUUCCGUGUCCUCCUCUGAACGUGCCUGAUAAAGGCUUUUGAGUGACUGAAUGAGUGGACGGCUCCCAUCUUCUGUCAUCUCAAUGAGUGCUGCUCCCCAGCUGACUGGAACCAGACGCCCUAGUUCCCAGGCUGGGUUUCCCUCCAGAUGUGUUCUCCUGCAGUGUCGGUUCCACCGUUAAACAGCUGUAUCGCUCAGCAGGUACGCAACGUUGAUGCGCCUCCAUUUCCUCCUCUGCAGAAUUGUGGGCGUUCCUGUCGUGGCUCAGCAGAAUCCGGCUUGUAUCCACGAGGAUGCGGGUUCUAUCCCUGGCCUCGCUCGGUGAAUCUGGGAUCCAGCCUUGCCGUGAGCUGUGGUGUAGGCCGGAAGCUGUAGCUCCAAUUUGACCCCUAGCCUGGAAACUUCCAUAUGCUGAGGGUUCGGCCUUAAAAACAACAACAACAACAAAAUAGUACUUACGUCAUAGGGUUGCUGUCAGCAUUAAAUGAGAGAGUCUGUUAAAAACGCCGAGAACAUUGCCUGGCAAUAUACAUUGCAGAAUACUCAAUAAAUAUUAGCUGGUGUUAUUUCAUACUUCAUCAAAC